UAGUAACGGCGAGUGAAGCGGGAACAGCUCAAAUUUGAAAUCUGGCCUUCGGGUCCGAAUUGUAAUUUGCAGAGGAUGCUUUUGGUUAGGUACUUUCCGAGUUCCCUGGAACGGGACGCCUUACAGGGUGAGAGCCCCGUACGGUUGGAUACCGAGCCUUUGUAAAGCUCCUUCGACGAGUCGAGUAGUUUGGGAAUGCUGCUCUAAAUGGGAGGUAAAUUUCUUCUAAAGCUAAAUACCGGCCAGAGACCGAUAGCGCACAAGUAGAGUGAUCGAAAGAUGAAAAGCACUUUGAAAAGAGGGUUAAAUAGCACGUGAAAUUGUUGAAAGGGAAGCGUUUAUGACCAGACUUUUUCCAGGCGAAUCAUCCGGUGUUCUCGCCGGUGCACUUCGUCUGGUUGAGGCCAGCAUCGGUUUCCGUGGGGGGAUAAAAGCGGUGGGAAUGUGACUCCUCCGGGAGUGUUAUAGCCCGCCGUAUAAUACCUCCAUGGGGACCGAGGUUCGCGCAUCUGCAAGGAUGCUGGCGUAAUGGUCAUCAACGACCCGUCUUGAAACACGGACCAAGGAGUCGAACAUUUGUGCAAGUGUUUGGGUGUUAAACCCUCACGCGUAAUGAAAGUGAACGGAGGUGAGAGCCCUUACGGGUGCAUCAUCGACCGAUCCUGAUGUUUUCGGAUGGAUUUGAGUAAGAGCAUAACUGUUCGGACCCGAAAGAUGGUGAACUAUGCGUGGAUAGGGUGAAGCCAGAGGAGACUCUGGUGGAGGCUCGCAGCGGUUCUGACGUGCAAAUCGAUCGUCAAAUCUGCGCAUGGGGGCGAAAGACUAAUCGAACCAUCUAGUAGCUGGUUACCGCCGAAGU
RNAcentral lists this ribosomal RNA (859 nucleotides) under Beltrania krabiensis. RNAcentral describes it as "partial 28S large subunit ribosomal RNA". It matches the Rfam family "Eukaryotic large subunit ribosomal RNA", at positions 81 to 967 of the family's 3401-position model. The record is from RNAcentral. Lineage: Eukaryota; Fungi; Ascomycota; Sordariomycetes; Amphisphaeriales; Beltraniaceae.